RNAcentral lists this ribosomal RNA (405 nucleotides) under uncultured bacterium. RNAcentral's name for it is "partial 16S ribosomal RNA". It matches the Rfam family "Bacterial small subunit ribosomal RNA", at positions 30 to 526 of the family's 1533-position model. The record is from RNAcentral.
AUUGAACGCUGGCGGCAGGCUUAACACAUGCAAGUCGAACGAGUGGCGGACGGGUGAGUAAUGCUUGGGAAUCUAGCUUAUGGAGGGGGAUACAUACGGGAAACUGUAGCUAAUACCGCGUACCAUAGGAUGAGCCCACUUGGGAUUAGGUAGUUAGUGAGGUAAAGGCUCACCAAGCCGACGAUCGCUAGCUGGUCUGAGCGGAUGACCAGCCACACUGGGACUGAGCCAAGGCACAGACUCCGACGUGAGGCAGCGGUGGGGAAUAUGGCGCAAUGGGGGCAACCUGACGCAGCCAUGCCGCGUGAAUGAAGAAGGCCGUCGGGUUGUAAAGUUCUGUCGGUAGCGAGGCGUUAACUACAGAAGAAGCACCGGCUAACUCCGUGCCAGCAGCCGCGGUAAUUC